This 468-nucleotide ribosomal RNA is filed under the name uncultured bacterium. RNAcentral describes it as "partial 16S ribosomal RNA". It matches the Rfam family "Bacterial small subunit ribosomal RNA", at positions 28 to 507 of the family's 1533-position model. The record is from RNAcentral.
GACGAACGCUGGCGGCGUGCUUAACACAUGCAAGUCGAACGGAAAGGCCCUGCUUUUGUGGGGUGCUCGAGUGGCGAACGGGUGAGUAACACGUGAGUAACCUGACCUUGACUUUGGGAUAACUUCAGGAAACUGGGGCUAAUACCGGAUAGGAGCUCCUGCUGCAUGGUGGGGGUUGGAAAGUUUCGGCGGGUGGGGAUGGACUCGCGGCUUAUCAGCUUGUUGGUGGGGUAGUGGCUUACCAAGGAUUUGACGGGUAGCCGGCCUGAGAGGGUGACCGGCCACAUUGGGACUGAGAUACGGCCCAGACUCCUACGGGAGGCAGCAGUGGGGAAUAUUGCACAAUGGGCGGAAGCCUGAUGCAGCAACGCCGCGUGCGGGAUGACGGCCUUCGGGUUGUAAACCGCUUUCGCCUGUGACGAAGCGUGAGUGACGGUAAUGGGUAAAGAAGCACCGGCUAACUACGUG